CUGACUGAGUGUUGUUACUUUGAAGCCGAUCCAUAAUCCAAGAUGGCCGCCAGCAGGGGACUUAGUUUAACAUGGGACCCUAUGAGAAAUAUAUACAAAUGUCUUCUUUUAGAGAACCACUGAAUGGAAUGAAACCAAACAUGGCAUGAAUGUUCCUUAUGAGGUGCUGACCGAGUGUUGUUACUUUGAAGCCGAUCAAUAAUCCAAGAUGGCCGCCAGCAGGGGACUUAGUUUAACAUGGGACCCUAUGGGAAAUACAUACAAACGUCUUCUUUUAGAGAACCACUGAAUGGAAUGAAACCAAACAUGGCAUGAAUGUUCCUUAUGAGGUGCUGACCAAGUGUUGUUACUUUGAAGUUGAUCCAUCAUCCAAGAUGGCCGCCAGCGGGGGACUUAGUUUAACAUAGGAGCCUAUGGGAAAUACAUACAAAUGUCUUCUUUAAGAGAACCACUGAAUGGAAUGAAACCAAACAUGGCAUGAAUGUUCCUUAUGAGGUGCUGACCAAGUGUUGUUACUUUGAAGCUGAUCCUUCAUCCAUGAUGGCUGCCAGAUGGGGACAAUGUUUAACAAAGGACCCUAUGGACAAUACAUACAAAUGUCUUCUUUUAGAGAACCACAUACUUAAUGGAUUGAAACCAAACAUGGCAUGAAUGUUCUUUAUGAGGUGCUGACUAAGUUUUUUGACUUUGAAGCUGAUCCUUCAUCCAUGAUGGCCGCCAAUGGGGGGGACUUCCUUUAACAUAAGACCCUACGGGAAAUACAUACAAAUGCUUCUUCUAGAGGUGCACUGAAUGGAAUGAAACCAAAACAUGGCAUAAAUGUUUCUUAUGAGGUGCUGAUUAAGUGUUGCUACUUUGUUGCCCAUUUACUGUUCAAGAUGGCCACCAGGUUUUUUUUUAUUAAAUAACAGGACCAAUAUUAAACCAAAUUUGGACUCACUCAUUAUUAGGGUAUCUGUUAUGAUUUUAAUCUAUUUUUACAUGAUUUCCAAAACCAAAGUAGA
Long non-coding RNA from Mytilus californianus (California mussel), 1004 nucleotides. RefSeq lists it as uncharacterized. The transcript is spliced from 3 exons. The record is from RefSeq and is a predicted model, not a curated record. NCBI's taxonomy places the organism in Eukaryota, Metazoa, Mollusca, Bivalvia, Mytilida, Mytilidae.